AAACGACAUGGGGAGCCGAAGCUCCCCAGGAAAGUCGUUGCGUGCUCUUAUUGUUUUUCUGCCGGGCUUCUUGUUUUUGUUGAUGCCCUGCCCACAAAUCUCAAAGCUUGUGGACGACCCCCAACCCGGGGGUGAAGAGCAAACGGAUUGCUUUGGUCGCUGAUGUUAUGCUGAUCGUUCGAUCCAACCAGUUCAGGCGCUGCUUUUUAGUGCAGUU
This 217-nucleotide unclassified non-coding RNA is filed under the name Pseudomonas guariconensis. RNAcentral's name for it is "Pseudomonas sRNA P29". Lineage: Bacteria; Pseudomonadati; Pseudomonadota; Gammaproteobacteria; Pseudomonadales; Pseudomonadaceae. The record is from RNAcentral.